RNAcentral lists this ribosomal RNA (254 nucleotides) under uncultured bacterium. RNAcentral's name for it is "partial 16S ribosomal RNA". It matches the Rfam family "Bacterial small subunit ribosomal RNA", at positions 524 to 776 of the family's 1533-position model. The record is from RNAcentral.
UACGAAGGGGGCUAGCGUUGUUCGGAUUUACUGGGCGUAAAGAGCUCGUAGGCGGUUUGUCGCGUCUGCUGUGAAAACCUAAGGCUCAACCUUGGGCUUGCAGUGGGUACGGGCAGACUAGAGUGCGGUAGGGGGUGACUGGAAUUCCUGGUGUAGCGGUGGAAUGCGCAGAUAUCAGGAGGAACACCGAUGGCGAAGGCAGGUCACUGGGCCGCAACUGACGCUGAGGAGCGAAAGCAUGGGGAGCGAACAGG